GGAGAAAGUCUUGAAGAUCUGGAUAGAAGAUCAAACCAGCCACAGUAUUAUUUUAAGCUAAAGCCUAACCCAGAGCAAGGCCCUAACUCUAUUCAAUUGUAUGAUGGCUGAGAAAGACAAGGAAGCUGCAGAAGAAAAGUCUGAAGCUAGCAGUUUUGUUCAUGAGGUUUAAGGAAAGAAGCCAUCUCCAUGACACAAAAAUACAAGGUGAAGCAGCAAGUGCUGAUGAAGAAGCUGCGGCAAGUUAUCCAGAAGACCUAGCUAAGAUCACUGAUGGAGAAAUUGCUACAGCCACUUUAACCUUCAACAAUCAUCACCCUGAUCAGUCACCGGCCAUCAACAACAAGUCAAGACCUUUCUCCAGCAAAAAGAUUGUGACUUGCUGAAAGCUGAGAUGAUCAUUUGCAAUUUUUAGUUUGGAAUCACUGAUGUGAGAGAAAGAAUCUGCAUCACCUUGAAAUGGGAACUGUGGAAGUUUGAAUUUAAAGUACAUGGCAGAAGACAUGUCUAAGCAGUAAAGAAUUCAAGAAGUGACCUGGCUGCUUCUAACAACAUAACUCAAGGUGGAAGCAAUGCAAUGACUUAAAGAUUGAAGUUCUAUUUAAAGGAGAAGCAGAGCAGAAAAGUUUGGAAAUUUUCAGCCUAGUCAUGUGAUAUGGUUUGGCUCUGUGUCCCCACCUAAAUCUCAUGUCGAGUUGUAAUCCCCAUGUGUCAGGGGAGCCACAUGGUGGGAGGUGAUUGGAUCAUUGAUGUGGAUUUCCCCCUUGCUGUUCUCAUGAUAGUGAGUUCUCAUGAGAUCUGUCUCUCUCUCUUCUGCCUCUAUGUGAAGAAGGUGCUUGCUUCCCCUUCACCUUCCACCAUGAUUGUAAGUUUCCUGAGGCCUCCCAAUCAUGCUUCCUGUUAAGCCUGUGGAACUGUUAGUCAAUUAAACCUUCUUUCUUCAUAAAUUAUCCAGUCUCAUCUAGUUCCUUAUAGCAGAGUGAAAGCAAACUAAUACACCAUGUGGCAAAGAAAGAAAAAACUUCUUUGGGAGAGGAAUCCAAGCAGGCUGCAGAGCAACCACUUGCCAGAGAGAUUCAUAUGUUUCAUAGAGAGACAGACGCUGAUAGACAGGACAAUGAGAAAAGGCAUUUUACAGAUCUACAAACCAAUCUCUCCUAAAACAGACCCAGAGGUAUAGGAGAAAAGAAUGGUUUAGAGGGCAGGCCUUGCUUCCCAGCACCACUGCAGGAGGAUGCUACUUGUAUCCAGGUCUCUCCAACCUCAGCUCAAAGAGGCUUAAAUACGUUUUGAGCUGCUGCUUAAAAGGGUAGAAGCUGUAAGCAUUGGUGGCUUCAAUGUGAUGUUAAUCUUGCAGGUGUUUAGAUGUAAGAAUGAAGGAGGCUUGGCAGCUUAUCCCUAGAUUUCAGAGGAUCUAUGAGAAAGCCUGAGUGCCCAGGAAGAAAUCUCCUGCAGGGGUAGAGGCCUUUCAAAGAACCUCUAUUAGGGCAUCAUGGAGGGGGAAUGCAGGGCUGGAACGCCCACAUAGAAUUGUCACCAUGGUACUGCCUAGUGGACCUAUGGGAAUGCUGCUAUUUCCAGACCCAAGAAUGGUAGAGCCAAUGGAAGCCUGCAAUUUGAAUAUGGAAAUGGCACAGACACCCAACUCCAACUCAUGAAAGGAGCCACAGGGUAUACACCCUGCACAGCCACAGGGUUGGAGCUGUCCAAGACCUUGGGAACCCACCCCUUGCACCAGUGGUUGCAAUGUGGGACUUGGAGCCAAAGGAGAUUUCUUGGAGCUUUAAGAUUUAAUGACUACUCUGCUGGGUUUCAGACUUGCAUCGGGUCUGCAGCCCCUUUAUUUUGGCCAAUUUCUCCCUUUUGGAAUGAGAAUGUUUACCAAAUGCCUAUAACCCCAUUGUAUCUUGGAAGUAAUAACUUGAUUUUUAUUACACAGGCUUGGAAGGAACUCAUCUACAGAGGAGGCUUUAGACUUGGGAAUUGGAACUUGAGACUUUAAAUUUAGUUGAUGCUGUAAUGCUUUAAGACUUUGGGGGAUUAUUUGAAAGGAGUGGAAUGAUAUUGUUUGAAUAUUUGUCCCCUCCACAUUUCAUGUAAAAGUGUAAUCCUCAAUUUAGGAAGUGGGGCCUGGUGAGAAGUGUUUGGAUUAUUGGGGGUAAAACACUCAUGAAUAGCUUGGUGCUGUUCUUAUGAUAGUGAGUAAAUUCUCAUGAGACCUGGUUGUUGAAAACUGUGUAGUACAUCCCCCAACCUUGCUCCUGCUCUUGCCAUGUGACAUUCUGGCUCCCUGUCACCUUUCAUAAAGAGUGUAAUCUUUGUGAGGUGUCACCAGAAGCACAUGCUGGUACCAUGCUUCCUGUAAAGACUGCAGAACCAUGAGUCAAGUAAACUUAUUUUCUUUGUAUAUUAGCCAGUCUCAGGUAUUCCUUUAUAGUAUCACAAACAGAGCAAUACAAGGACUUCCUUUUUAAUCACAUUGAUAAAUUUAUUCUAGAAACACUUAUUUAGUUAUGAUUAUUUGGGAUUCAACCGUAUACAUAAUUGUAUGUUCUGCCCUCUUAGAUAUUCCAUUCUAGUAAACAAAACAGACACAUAAACAAGGAAAUGAUGGUAUGUGGAAUAAAGUGUUAUAAAGGAAACAAAGAUAGCUGUCAGAUAGACAUAACAUGGAUGUAAUUUUUGAGAUGAAAACUUUAGUUAAUGUUAAUAGGAAAGCCACUCUGUGGAGGUGGCAUUUAAGUUGAAACCUAAAAAGAAAAAAGGCGUGACUAGGAAUUAAUGGUUAAAUUUCACUGUCCCUUUCUUUAAAUCGGACUGUAAGAGAAAUUG
This 2832-nucleotide long non-coding RNA is filed under the name Homo sapiens (human). RNAcentral's name for it is "HSALNT0174270". The record is from RNAcentral. Lineage: Eukaryota; Metazoa; Chordata; Mammalia; Primates; Hominidae.